Molecule: ribosomal RNA, 440 nt
Filed under: uncultured bacterium
Lineage: Bacteria
Description: partial 16S ribosomal RNA
Rfam family: Bacterial small subunit ribosomal RNA
Source: RNAcentral
CCUACGGGUGGCAGCAGUGGGGAAUAUUGGGCAAUGGAGGCAACUCUGACCCAGCAAUGCCGCGUGCAGGAUGAAGGUUUUCUGAUUGUUAACUUCCUUCGCUACGGAUGAAGACUGACGGUACCUCGUAUGACAGCCCCGGCAAACUGAGUGCGAGCAGCCGCGCUAAUACGUAGGGGCCGAGCGUUGUCCGAAAUUACUGGGUGUAAGGGGAGCGUAGGCGGGUGGAGGAGUAGAAGGUGAAAUCUAUGGGUUCAACCCAUAGCUGCGUUCAAAACUGUUCUUCUUGAGUGAAGUAGAGGCAGGCGGAAUGCCUGGUGUAGCGGUGAAAUGCGUAGAGAGUAGAAGGAACACCAGUGGCGAAGGCAGCCUGCUGGGCUUUUACUGACGCUGAGGCACGAAAGCGUGGGUAGCAAACAGGAUUAGAUACCCUAGUAGUC